UUGUCCGGAUUUACUGGGCGUAAAGAGCGCGCAGGCGGUCGUUCAAGUCGCGUGUGAAAGCCCCCGGCUCAACUGGGGAGGGUCACGCGAUACUGAUCGACUCGAAGGCAGGAGAGGGAAGUGGAAUUCCCGGUGUAGUGGUGAAAUGCGUAGAUAUCGGGAGGAACACCAGUGGCGAAGGCGACUUCCUGGCCUGUUCUUGACGCUGAGGCGCGAAAGCUAGGGGAGCAAACGGG
RNAcentral lists this ribosomal RNA (236 nucleotides) under uncultured bacterium. RNAcentral describes it as "partial 16S ribosomal RNA". It matches the Rfam family "Bacterial small subunit ribosomal RNA", at positions 541 to 776 of the family's 1533-position model. The record is from RNAcentral.